CUUUGAACUCUUUUCUUAUUAAUUUAUUUUUUAAAUAAUUCCUAGGAAUUUUUAUUGGUUUAUUUUUUUAAUGUGUAUUGCAUGAUUGAUUUCUUAGUAGAUGUACAUUUAUGUAUAAUAAAAACACAAACAUGCACAUACACACAUUUUAACUAUAAUUCCUAUCUGGUUUCUUUAUCCAGAAAGUUGGUGCUUAUGAUCCGGGCUUC
Molecule: long non-coding RNA, 209 nt
Filed under: Elaeis guineensis (African oil palm)
Lineage: Eukaryota; Viridiplantae; Streptophyta; Magnoliopsida; Arecales; Arecaceae
Description: long non-coding RNA (EGUI_LNC081561)
Source: RNAcentral